This 253-nucleotide ribosomal RNA is filed under the name uncultured bacterium. RNAcentral's name for it is "partial 16S ribosomal RNA". It matches the Rfam family "Bacterial small subunit ribosomal RNA", at positions 524 to 776 of the family's 1533-position model. The record is from RNAcentral.
UACGUAGGGAGCAAGCGUUGUCCGGAAUCAUUGGGCGUAAAGCGCGCGUAGGCGGCCCUGUAAGUCCGUUGUGAAAGUCAAAGGCUCAACCUUUGAAAGCCGAUGGAUACUGCAGUGCUAGAGUGUGGAAGGGGCAAUCGGAAUUCUUGGUGUAGCGGUGAAAUGCGUAGAUAUCAAGAGGAACACCUGAGGUGAAGACGGGUUGCUGGGCCAACACUGACGCUGAGGCGCGAAAGCCAGGGGAGCAAACGGG